CCAGACUCCUACGGGAGGCAGCAGUGGGGAAUAUUGCACAAUGGGGGAAACCCUGAUGCAGCGACGCCGCGUGAGCGAUGAAGUAUUUCGGUAUGUAAAGCUCUAUCAGCAGGGAAGAAAAUGACGGUACCUGACUAAGAAGCCCCGGCUAACUACGUGCCAGCAGCCGCGGUAAUACGUAGGGGGCAAGCGUUAUCCGGAUUUACUGGGUGUAAAGGGAGCGUAGACGGCUGUGCAAGCCAGAUGUGAAAGCCCGGGGCCCAACCCCGGGACUGCUCUUGGAACUGCAUGGCUGGAGUACAGGAGGGGCAGGCGGAAUUCCUAGUGUAGCGGUGAAAUGCGUAGAUAUUAGGAGGAACACCGGUGGCGAAGGCGGCCUGCUGGACUGUGACUGACGUUGAGGCCCGAAGGCGUGGGGAGCAAACAGGAUUAGAUACCCUUGUAGA
This 446-nucleotide ribosomal RNA is filed under the name uncultured bacterium. RNAcentral describes it as "bacterial SSU rRNA". It matches the Rfam family "Bacterial small subunit ribosomal RNA", at positions 331 to 794 of the family's 1533-position model. The record is from RNAcentral.